Molecule: long non-coding RNA, 348 nt
Organism: Mastomys coucha (southern multimammate mouse)
Lineage: Eukaryota; Metazoa; Chordata; Mammalia; Rodentia; Muridae
Exons: 2
Source: RefSeq, a predicted model, not a curated record
UCCUCAGGUUACACUUUUGGGUCUCAGGCAGUGGAAAAUGUUAAGGCAACUAAGUAGCUAUUAGCUGGGCCUCCUACUAGUUGGACAGUACAGCAUGGUCGCUAGGAAGAAGGCAAAAGCUCUGUCUUCAAGUUUAGAAUACUAGAUGCUGAUGAAAUGAAAACUGCAAACGGCUUCAGUAGUCCUGAAACCCUAAACCAGUCUGUGGAGAUCUGCUCUGGGCCUAAGGAUGAGGUCUGCAGAGCUGUGCACCUUGAGUCUCCUCUCAACAAUGCAGAACAAACACUGCGGAGAAUGCCAACACAUACAACAAGGUGUUUACGGUGCAAUUUAACCAAUUUGAAUAUA